RNAcentral lists this ribosomal RNA (406 nucleotides) under uncultured bacterium. Its description in RNAcentral is "partial 16S ribosomal RNA". It matches the Rfam family "Bacterial small subunit ribosomal RNA", at positions 30 to 526 of the family's 1533-position model. The record is from RNAcentral.
AUUGAACGCUGGCGGCAGGCCUAACACAUGCAAGUCGAACGAGUGGCGGACGGGUGAGUAAUGUCUGGGAAACUGCCUGAUGGAGGGGGAUAACUACUGGAAACGGUAGCUAAUAACGCAUACCAUCGGAUGUGCCCAGAUGGGAUUAGCGUGUAGGUGGGGUAAGGGCUCACCAAGGCGACGAUCCCUAGCUGGUCUGAGAGGAUGACCGGCCACACUGGAACUGAGACACGGUCCAGACUCCUACGGGAGGCAGCAGUGGGGAAUAUUGCACAAUGGGCGCAAGUCUGAUGCAGCCAUGCCGCGUGUAUGAAGAAGGCCUUCGGGUUGUAAAGUACUUUCAGCGGGGAGGCGUUACCCGAAGAAGAAGCACCGGCUAACUCCGUGCCAGCAGCCGCGGUAAUUC